GCCUCUGUAAUGCAGUGGGUAGCACACCACGCCCUGGUAUGAAAACAAGGGUUCAACUCCCGUCUGAGGCC
Molecule: non-coding RNA, 71 nt
Organism: Parelaphostrongylus tenuis
Lineage: Eukaryota; Metazoa; Nematoda; Chromadorea; Rhabditida; Metastrongylidae
Source: the annotation of a GenBank genome assembly